GCCCAGAUGGUGAAAUGGUAGACACGCUCGUUUCAGGUGCGAGUGCUUCGCGGCAUGUAGGUUCGAGUCCUAUUCUGGGCACAA
RNAcentral lists this transfer RNA (84 nucleotides) under Rikenellaceae bacterium. RNAcentral describes it as "tRNA-Leu". It matches the Rfam family "tRNA". From Rfam's summary of the family: Transfer RNA (tRNA) molecules are approximately 80 nucleotides in length. Their secondary structure includes four short double-helical elements and three loops (D, anti-codon, and T loops). Further hydrogen bonds mediate the characteristic L-shaped molecular structure. tRNAs have two regions of fundamental functional importance: the anti-codon, which is responsible for specific mRNA codon recognition, and the 3' end, to which the tRNAs corresponding amino acid is attached (by aminoacyl-tRNA synthetases). tRNAs cope with the degeneracy of the genetic code in two manners: having more than one tRNA (with a specific anti-codon) for a particular amino acid; and 'wobble' base-pairing, i.e. permitting non-standard base-pairing at the 3rd anti-codon position. The record is from RNAcentral. Lineage: Bacteria; Pseudomonadati; Bacteroidota; Bacteroidia; Bacteroidales; Rikenellaceae.